Molecule: ribosomal RNA, 492 nt
Filed under: uncultured bacterium
Lineage: Bacteria
Description: partial 16S ribosomal RNA
Rfam family: Bacterial small subunit ribosomal RNA
Source: RNAcentral
AGUGAACGCUGGCGGUAGGCCUAACACAUGCAAGUCGAACGGCAGCACAGUAAGAGCUUGCUCUUACGGGUGGCGAGUGGCGGACGGGUGAGGAAUACAUCGGAAUCUACUUUUUCGUGGGGGAUAACGUAGGGAAACUUACGCUAAUACCGCAUACGACCUACGGGUGAAAGCAGGGGAUCUUCGGACCUUGCGCGAUUGAAUGAGCCGAUGUCGGAUUAGCUAGUUGGCGGGGUAAAGGCCCACCAAGGCGACGAUCCGUAGCUGGUCUGAGAGGAUGAUCAGCAACACUGGAACUGAGACACGGUCCAGCAUCCUAAGGGAGGCAGCAGUGGGGAAUCUUGGACAAUGGGCGCAAGCCUGAUCCAGCCAUACCGCGUGGGUGAAGAAGGCCUUCGGGUUGUAAAGCCCUUUUGUUGGGAAAGAAAAGCAGCAGGUUAAUACCCCGCUGUUCUGACGGUGCCCAAAGAAUAAGCACCGGCUAACUUCGUG